This 220-nucleotide unclassified non-coding RNA is filed under the name uncultured Glomus. RNAcentral's name for it is "partial internal transcribed spacer 2". Lineage: Eukaryota; Fungi; Glomeromycota; Glomeromycetes; Glomerales; Glomeraceae. The record is from RNAcentral.
AACAAACAUCGAUUCCAUUGCUUUUUUUUAAAAGUGAUGUCGUCGGAUUUGAGCCGUCUUUUUUUUAUAACUAAGUGGCUUAAAAUUGAUUUUUUUGGUAUGAUCGAAGCGUAUUUUAUGAUCAAAUUUUGGUUAAGGAAACGCACACGUACCGUCAUUUUAUAUGAUGUAAUACGUUUGACUAUCAGAUUUAGUUCAUUCGUAUACGAUAUUUUUCAAU